UAAGAGAACCACAUGACCCAA
RNAcentral lists this non-coding RNA (21 nucleotides) under Mus musculus (house mouse). Lineage: Eukaryota; Metazoa; Chordata; Mammalia; Rodentia; Muridae. The record is from RNAcentral.